AUCAACAAGACAUACUGUGCAUUAAACCAAUGUGGAUCUCCAGCAUUCGCCUGAGGUUUCCGCCCCCUCUGCUAUCUCAAGUUGUUUUGUUGAUUGAUUGAAACAGAUGCUAACGUUGCCGUAGCUUGCUUUACCGAACUUGGUACGACACCGGUUUAGGCAUGCCUCUGGCUCGCAGCCUGUCCAUCACCUCCCUGUCGGGGUUGGAGGAGUGGGAUGAGGAGUUUGACUUGGAGGACGCUGUCCUCUUCGAGAUCGCAUGGGAGGUGGCCAACAAAGUUGGUGGGAUUUACACAGUGAUCCAGACCAAAGCCCGUCUGACGGCAGAGGAAUGGGGAGAAAACUACUUCCUGGUUGGUCCGUGCGUGGAGGUAACGUCCGUACCCAGGUGGAGCUGAUUGAGCCCACCAACCCUGUGUACUUUGGUCGUUGGCUGAUUGAGGGCAGUCCAUACGUGGUGCUGAUAGAUGUGGCGUUCACUGCCUGGAACCUGGAUAAGUGGAAAAGAGUUGUGGGACAACUUCUCUAUCGGGGUGCCCUGGUUCGACCGCGAGGCCAACGACGCCGUCCUCUUUGGCUUCUUGACCGCCUGGUUACUGGGAGAGAGUUAGUGGAGAACUGUUACCAGACUGAUGAUACCAAGCUGAUGCUUCUAGAGUUAGUGGAGAACUGUUACCAGACUGAUGAUACCAAGCUGAUGCUUCUAGAGUUAGUGGAGAACUGUUACCAGACUGAUGAUACCAAGCUGAUGCUUCUAGAGUUAGUGGAGAACUGUUACCAGACUGAUGAUACCAAGCUGAUGCUUCUAGAGUUAGUGGAGAACUGUUACCAGACUGAUGAUACCAAUCUGAUGCUUCUAGAGUUAGUGGAGAACUGUUACCAGACUGAUGAUACCAAUCUGAUGCUUCUAGAAAUACUUUUUUUUUCAUGUUAUUUAUUCAAUAAACUUUACCUCAUAGUAGGUAAUAGCUUGGUGAGUGGAAUUGAGGAUUUGGAAUUGUCCUCUCUGUCUCAGUUCAACGUGGAUAAGGAGGCGGGGGAUAGACAGAUCUACCAUCGGUAUUGUCUGGAGAGGACAGCGGCACGCUGCGCUCAUGUCUUCACCACCGUCUCUCAGAUCACAGCCGUUGAGGCAGAGCACCUGCUCAAGAGGAAACCAGACAUAAUCACCCCUAACGGGCUGAACGUGAAGAAGUUCUCUGCCAUGCAUGAGUUCCAGAACCUGCACGCCCAGAGCAAGAACCGUAUCCAGGAGUUCAUCAGAGGUCACUUCUAUGGGCACCUGGACUUCAACCUGGACAAGUGUCUGUUCCUGUUCAUCGCUGGGAGGUAUGAGUUCAGCAACAAAGGAGCUGAUAUCUUCUUGGAGGCUUUGGCCAGACUCAACUAUCUACUGAGAGUCAACCACAGCGAUGUGACUGUCGUUGCGUUCUUCAUCAUGCCUGCGCGGACCAACAACUUCAACGUGGAGACGCUGAAAGGCCAAGCAGUCAGGAAGCAGCUCUGGGAUACCGCUCAAACAGUGAAGGAACGCUUCGGAAAGAAACUCUAUGAAUCACUGCUGGUUGGGCAGUUGCCGGACGUGUCCAAAAUGCUGAGUAAGGACGACUUCACCAUGAUGAAACGUGCCAUCUUUGCCACCCAGAGGCAGUGCCAGCCUCCCAUCUGUACCCACAACAUGCUGGAGGACAGCAACGACCCCAUCCUCUCUUGCAUUCGCCGCAUCGGCUUGUUCAACAGCUCUGCCGACCGCGUCAAGGUGAUCUUCCACCCAGAGUUCCUGUCCUCCACCUCUCCCCUCCUGCCGAUGGAUUAUGAAGAGUUUGUAAGAGGCUGCCAUCUUGGAGUGUUCCCCUCUUACUAUGAACCAUGGGGAUAUACACCAGCUGAGUGUACAGUCAUGGGGAUCCCCUCAAUCUCCACCAACCUCUCUGGGUUUGGCUGCUUCAUGGAGGAACACAUAGCUGAUCCCUCAGCAUACGGAAUCUACAUCCUUGAUCGACGGUACAGAGGGGUUGAUGAGUCAUGUAACCAGCUCACGUCGUACCUGUUCCAGUUCUGUCAGCAGAGCCGGCGCGCCAGGAUCAUCCAGCGGAACCGAACCGAGCGCCUGAGUGACCUUCUGGACUGGAGAUACCUGGGCAGGUAUUACAUAUCAGCUCGUCACAUGGCCCUGGCUAAAGCCUUCCCAGAUACCUACUUCUACCAACCUCAUGACUCUGACACUGCCCAAGGUUUCCGUUACCCUAGACCAGCCUCUGUGCCCCCAUCUCCGUCUCUGUCGCGCCACUCCUCCCCCCGCCAAAGCGAGGCAGAAGAAGAUGAUGACCGCUAUGAUGAAGAUGCAGAGGCAGAGAAAGACCGCUUGAACAUCCGCCAGCCCUUGACCCUGCCUAGUAAAAAGGGUCCCGCCUUGCCUUACACCCUGCCAGGUGCCAAUGGAGAGAAGAACUGACUGUCUCACACACAAAACAUACACAAACUGACAUAUGCUGAUACUCACUACACACACGUUACAAACACGGCACUCUUAUCUUGACCGUCUCCACUUCCAUAAUAUAGAUCUGACAACUCCUGAAGAGAUGGGCUCUUUAUAGUAUGUUAUUCAUUCAGCAGCCGGAACGUCUUCCAAACCUACAUGCAGCUCCACCUCUGUGGGCAUCUGUACUGACAUGGAGGAGGAGAGGGAAAGGAUGUCUAGCUGGGUGAUGUUUCCUUCAGUUAAAGAGCCCAGUUUGAGAUAACAAAGUGGGGUAACUUGGAGUAUAUAGGAUGGUUACCUCUGGUCAUUAAUCUAGGUUACCUCUGGUCAUUAAUCUAGGUUACCUCUGGUCAUUAAUCUAGGUUACCUCUGGUCAUUAAUCUAGGUUACCUCUGGUCCACAGGAGGCUGCUGAGGGAGGAUCAGCUGGAAUAAUGGCUGAAACCAUGUGUUUGAUACCAUUCCAGAUAUUCUGCUCCAGCCAUUACCACGAGCCCGUCCUCCCCAAUUAAGGUGCCACCAACCUCCUGUGCUCUGGUCCUUAAUCUAGGAAUUUAUGAAAUCCUUGCCAGUGUUGACUAACAUGAGUUGUAACUGAGACUAAGAGAACCAUAUAACCAGUGGUAUCAUCAGGAUAAAGAAACCAGGGCUAAUUCGUCUUACUAACAAGGACAAAGGCAUUGGCCCACUGUGUCAUAGUCACACAACCAACCCAACAGCAGCACUUUUCCUGUUCAGACACUGAAGCAGUAACAGCAACCUGUUUAAACAGCAGCAGCACUUUUCCUGUCACACUGUAGCAGUAACAGCAACCCAACCAGCAGCAGCACUUCCCUGGGCUAGGAAACCAAUAAGCAACACAUUUAGAGCUGGGCCCAUAGAGUUAGACUAGAUAGAUGUACUGCAUAUAGCCCGUUUUCUGCAUGGACAUUGCCAUUGAGGGCCUCUAACACAGAUACUAAGAUGAGUCCUCUUUCUAACUCUAUGGCUGAGCCUCAGAACGUCCUGCUGAAGAGCCUCCUGCUGAAACAGACUCCCAUUUGUUCAGAGAUUCAGACCUUCGUGUGGGCGUUGUCAUAGUCUCUGGGCCUUGUACUGUAUUAGAACCAGCAUUACUGUGUGUAAAAACUGUCUGGGCCUUGUACUGUAUUAGAACCGGCAUUACUGUGUGUAAAACUGUUGAUUGGUCACCUUUUAACCUUUCAGUCAGUGAGCCUGUGUUUGAGUGUUUUUCUUUGUGUUUGUGAUGGAACACUGAUUCUGCCUGCACUCUGAGGUUUAGGUCAAUAGGUGGGGCUUCCGUCCUGAAAAGCUAGUGGUGUUUUUAGACAGCAGACUGUAUUAGAGAGGAGCGAAGGGAAAAGGUCACAGGUUUGGGUGGAUCCUAUUCCCAGCGGUGCACAGCCAGAAACCAAGAGGAGUUGAUCCAGAUCCCACACUGCUGUGUCAGUUUGUUUGUUAUAAUCACACACCAGAGGAAGAGAAAAUAAAGUCUAUUCUAUGUAUUAAUGAUGAAA
Molecule: RNA transcript, 3998 nt
Organism: Oncorhynchus gorbuscha (pink salmon)
Lineage: Eukaryota; Metazoa; Chordata; Actinopteri; Salmoniformes; Salmonidae
Gene name: glycogen [starch] synthase, muscle-like
Exons: 16
Source: RefSeq, a predicted model, not a curated record